CAAAAUUGUGAAGUUGGGGACCAAAAUGCAAAAAGUGCCGAAAGUUUAAGGAACUGGGGUAGUAAUUUUGGAGGCCAAAAGUGAUAUGGAAAUCAAAAUUUGAGGAUCAGAUUGUACAUUAUCAAUGUUGAGGGGCAUUGUGUGCAAUUAAAUGGAGGACUAAGUUGGAAAAAGAAAUAAAGGAAGCCCGCGCUCGCACACAGGCUUACUAUGGCGCUCGCGCGGGAGGCUCUUUGUGAUCUCCCGAGGCCAAAAGCCUCUAAUGGCGCGCGCGAGUCGCCUUCCGAUUGGGUGAAUUUUAUCUAUUUCGCGUAAAUUUCGGGAGUUCUUUCACAAUUUUUUCUUAGACGAUUUUUGGCCAUUUAAAUACCAUUUUGUUAGUCAAUUCUAGGGUUUCUUUGGCUGGGUUUUCUUCCUCUUUCAUUUUUCUUUUACUUUUCUUUCAUUUUCUUUCAUUUUCUUCUUCUUUUUCUCUCCUCUUUCUUUCCAUUUUUCUUGACAUUUUGGAAGUGAAAUUAAGAGCACAAGGAGAAUUUAUCUAAGGUUUUGGAUAAAUGUUUGAGAAAGUCAUAGCCAAGUUUCAAAAGGGUUAUAUCUAUAACUUCAUAUUUUCUCAAUUAUUUUGCCAUAUUUGUAAUGGAUUGCGUAAAACAUUCUCCUUUUAUCAAUUAUAUAAAAUGGGCUAGUUUAUUGUGUUGGGAUUUAUGGUAUUAAUUUAACCCAACUUUUAAUUAAUUUUGAUAUUUGCUCUUUAAUGUUAAGUUAUUUAUUUUUAUGUGUUUUUACUGUUGUAUUUAUUGUAUUUUCAUUUAUGUGGCCAAUGAAUGAUUAUGUUUAGUGAUUUGGACAUCGUCCGAGAGAAUAUUGUGCAUUUUAGACCAAAUAGUAGAAAAUCCUAGGUUUGUGUAGAGGAUAAAGAUAUAUUUCUAGCCCUGGGUGACCCAAUGAGUUAUUUUCACGAAUAUUUAAUGUAAUUGUUUGGUUUUAAUCGACAUAGAGAUAUAG
RNAcentral lists this long non-coding RNA (1005 nucleotides) under Olea europaea (common olive). RNAcentral describes it as "long non-coding RNA (OEUR_LNC006744)". Lineage: Eukaryota; Viridiplantae; Streptophyta; Magnoliopsida; Lamiales; Oleaceae. The record is from RNAcentral.